This 270-nucleotide ribosomal RNA is filed under the name uncultured prokaryote. Its description in RNAcentral is "partial 16S ribosomal RNA". It matches the Rfam family "Bacterial small subunit ribosomal RNA", at positions 524 to 792 of the family's 1533-position model. The record is from RNAcentral.
UACGUAGGUGGCAAGCGUUGUCCGGAUUUAUUGGGCGUAAAGGGAGCGCAGGCGGUGACUUAAGUCUGAUGUGAAAGCCCACGGCUCAACCGUGGAAGGUCAUUGGAAACUGGGUCACUUGAAUAUAGAAGAGGGAAGUGGAAUUCCACGUGUAGCGGUGAAAUGCGUAGAGAUAUGGAGGAACACCAGUGGCGAAGGCGGCUUCCUGGUCUGUAACUGACACUGAGGCGCGAAAGCGUGGGGAGCAAACAGGAUUAGGAUACCCUGGUA